RNAcentral lists this ribosomal RNA (899 nucleotides) under Fracchiaea heveae. RNAcentral describes it as "SSU rRNA". It matches the Rfam family "Eukaryotic small subunit ribosomal RNA", at positions 203 to 1106 of the family's 1831-position model. Lineage: Eukaryota; Fungi; Ascomycota; Sordariomycetes; Coronophorales; Nitschkiaceae. The record is from RNAcentral.
CAUUUAUUAAAUUAAAAACCAACGCCCUCCGGGGCUCACUGGUGAUUCAUGGUAACUGCUCGAAUCGCACGGCCCUGCGCCGGCGAUGGUUCAAUCAAGUUCCUCCCCUAUCAACUUUCGAUGUUUGGGUAUUGGCCAAACAUGGUUUCCACGGGUGACGGAGGGUCAGAGCUCGACCCCGGAGAGGGGGCAUGAGAAACGGCCCCCACAACUACGGUUAGGCAGCAGUCGAGAAAAUUACCCCAUGCCGACACGGUGAGGUAGUGACAAUAAAUACCGAUGCAGGGCCCUUCCGGGUCUUGCAAUUGGAAUGAGUACAGUUCAAACCCCUUAACGAGGAACAAUUGGAGGGCAAGUCUGGUGCCAGCAGCCGCGGUAAUACCAGCUCCAAUAGCGUAUACUAAAGUUGUUGUGGUUAAAAAGCCCGUAGUUGAACCCCGGGCCCGGCCGCCCGGUCCUCCUCACCGAGCGCACUGGCGUGGCCGGGUCCUUCCCCCUGCGGAGCCGCAUGCCCUUCGCUGGGCGUGCCGGGGAAGCAGGACGUUUACCGUGAAAAAAUUAGAGUGCUCAAAGCAGGCCUUUGCUCGGAUACCGCAGCAUGGAAUAAUGAAAUAGGACGUCGUGGCCCUAUUUUGUUGGUUUCUAGGACCGCCGUAAUGAUUAAUAGGAGCAAGCGGGGGCGUCAGUAUUCGGCCGUCAGAGGUGAAAUUCUUGGAUUGCCCGAAGACUAACUACUGCGAAAGCAUUCGCCAAGUGUGUUUUCAUUAAUCAGUUGGACGAAAGUUGGGGGAUCGAAGACGAUCAGAUACCGUCGUAGUCUCAACCAUAAACUCUGCCGACUAGGGAUCGGGCGGCGUUAAUCAAUUGACCCGCUCGGCACCUACGAGAAAUCAAAGUGC